UACGAAGGGAGCGAGCGUUGUUCGGAAUCACUGGGCUUAAAGCGUGCGUAGGCGGAUUGGUAAGUAAGAAGUGAAAUCCCAGGGCUUAACCCUGGAACUGCUUUUUAGACUGCCUGUCUGGAAUUCGGUAGAGGUUGGUGGAACUCCUAGUGUAGAGGUGAAAUUCGCAGAUAUUAGGAAGAACACCGGUGGCGAAGGCGACCAACUGGACCGAUAUUGACGCUGAGGCACGAAAGCGUGGGUAGCAAACAGGGAUU
RNAcentral lists this ribosomal RNA (257 nucleotides) under uncultured bacterium. RNAcentral's name for it is "partial 16S ribosomal RNA". It matches the Rfam family "Bacterial small subunit ribosomal RNA", at positions 524 to 779 of the family's 1533-position model. The record is from RNAcentral.